Molecule: transfer RNA, 72 nt
Filed under: archaeon
Lineage: Archaea
Also listed under: 1 other name
Description: tRNA-His
Rfam family: tRNA
About the family: Transfer RNA (tRNA) molecules are approximately 80 nucleotides in length.
Source: RNAcentral
GCCCUCGUGAUGUAGUGGUUAGCAUCGGAGCCUGUGGAGCUCUGUGGUUGGGUUCGAAUCCCGACGAGGGCC